RNA transcript from Olea europaea var. sylvestris, 7596 nucleotides. It is a transcript of the gene named extradiol ring-cleavage dioxygenase-like, with no coding region annotated. The record is from RefSeq and is a predicted model, not a curated record. NCBI's taxonomy places the organism in Eukaryota, Viridiplantae, Streptophyta, Magnoliopsida, Lamiales, Oleaceae. The transcript is spliced from 6 exons.
GUGUCAACAAAACUAUAAGCAAAGCCACGGAUUGCACACGCACGCUUUCUCCCUCCUGAAGACAUAUAUUCGUGUUAGUGUUUCUGUAUUGUGUAAAUUUGGAUAAUUGAAUCCAAAUAUAAGUUCUUUUUUUCUUUUAAUUUUUGAAGAAGAUGGGAUUGAAGGAGACCUUUUAUAUCUCACAUGGCUCGCCGACGCUGUCGAUUGAUGAUUCGCUGCCGGCGAGGUCCUUCCUCCAGUCAUUCCGGCAGAAGGUGUUCUCGGAGAAACCCAAAUCUAUAUUGGUGAUAUCCGGCCAUUGGGAGACCUCUGAGCCAACUGUCAACACCAUCGCCGGCGUCAACAAUAUCAUCUAUGACUUCUACGGCUUCCCGGAGAAAAUGUACAAGCUCAAGUAUCCGGCUCCAGGAUCGCCGGAAUUGGCAGAUAGAGUCAAAGAAUUGCUCAAAGAAUCAGGUUUUAAGCGUGUGCACGAGGACAAGAAACGAGGAUUGGAUCAUGGCGCGUGGGUGCCACUCAUGCUCAUGUACCCAGCAGCGGAUAUCCCAGUGUGCCAACUCUCCGUCCAAACUAACAGGGACGGGACUUAUCAUUAUAAUUUGGGGAAAGCAUUGGCUCCCCUGAAAGAGGAGGGGGUGCUCAUUGUUGGCUCAGGCGCCACCACCCACAAUCUAAGUAGGCUGCGCCGUGGGGUUGGCCGAGGGGGCAUUGAUGAUGGUUCUGUGGUCACUUGGGCUUCGGAGUUUGAUAAUUGGCUCAAAGAAGCUCUACUUGAAGGAAGAUUUGAAGAUGUUAAUCACUAUGAAGAAAAGGCACCAUAUGCUAAAGUAGCACACCCAAGCCCUGAUCAUUUCUAUCCAUUACAUGUGGCAAUGGGUGCUGCAGGUGAAAAUGCUGAAUCUGAACUUAUUCACCAUAGUUGGAGUUACGGUGCCCUCUCAUAUGCCUCUUACAAGUUCAAGGCAACAAGUGAAUAGCAAAUCACGGGAACCUAGGACCCGAUAUUUCAGUGUUCGGAAGGAAUAAAACAAAUGGUACCUUGUAUCUUGAGUAAUCAAUUGAACAUAGCGGAAAUCAACUUGCCAUGGCACCACCAGACUCAGAAGCUCCUUACAGUAAUUCUUUCUGCUCAGUAGCAGCAGCACAAGACAGUCAAGAAAAGCACCAGGAACAUGUGAACCUUCAAAUUAAAAUACAAAAACUUCUGAUAUCAUGAACAAUAACGGUUUUGAUGAUAAGAAACGGAUUCACAUGUUUGGCUGAGUUUAAAAGCUUAUUAUUAAGUUUCAUUUUUGCCCAACAUGCUUGAGGUAUGUCAAAAGUUGCUACUAUAAAUGUUGAGGAAAUUUAAUCAAUCAUCACUGAACUUUAAAAUUGUUAACACUCACUCAAUCAUCUUUGACGGGUUACCCAUUGGUCACUCAUCUUUCCAAAUAAUUAUCCAUCCACCACUCGUUAAACUUCUUUCUCUCCAAAUAAACAGAAAAUUACACGUGGAUAACAUUAAUCAAACGUGGCAAACUUUCUCUGUUAAAUCUUGACAACAUGGAAUUAAAACCACGACAUUUCUUCUCUUAAAAUCACGCCUUCUACCAUUAUUCACGACACUUCUGCCUUGGAAGAGAAAAUUAAGAGAAAACCUAUCUAUUUCUUCAAAGUUCUCCCUGAAAUCAAAGUAUUAGGCUUGAGAUUCUUCUCUUGUCAGCAUAAUGGAGGGCAUAGGUGACCCACAAGGCCCUCAUAUGGACAAUAAUUGUUGGAAGAUGCAUUGUUGGAAGAUGAGCAAGAAAGACCACAAGAAGUGACGAACAAUGAGAGUGAAGAUUUGUUGCCAGUUGAGUGCCAGUUAAAUGACUCAGAGGAUGAUGUGGACGAUGGUGGUUUUCAUUAUCAGAGAAAUGCAUCGGAAAGAGUUGUGGUUGGUUUGAAUGCAGACCUUGAAUUUCAAACAGCUGGUGAAGAUUAUAUCUCGGAAUUGGAUGAUCCAUAUUAUGCAUAUUCUGAAGAGGAGUUGUAUACUGAUCAUUUUUCUAGUGAGGAAAAUAAUUAUCGUUUCCCUACUUACAAUGUUGAGAUGGAGAAGUUUAAUAUACAACUAGAGGUUGAAAAAGAGUUCAAAAGCAUAGAUGAAUUUAAGAAAGCAAUUAGACAUCAUGAAGUAGUCACAAGGUGUAAUUUGAAGUUUAAGGUAAAUGAUGAUAAGAGAGCACAAGGAGUGUGCCAAAAAAAGGAUUGUAAGUGGAAGAUUUGGGCUUCAUGAAAUAACAAGAAAGGUUGCGUGCAAAUUAAGACAUUCAUUUCGCAGUACACACGUAUACGAGACAGAACAAAUAGACAUUGUAUAGCUAAGUAUAUUGCUAAGAAGUAGAGGUAGGCAAAAUCCAACCAACCCAAGAGAACUGCUCAACGCAACCUAACCCAUCAGGUUUGGGUCGAUUUUUUGCCACUUUUUUUGGUGGGUUUUGGGUCUCGGGUUGAGUUUUUGGGUCAGGUUUGGUCGGAUUAUGAGUUAACAAUGAAAAUUCGAUAUAACUCGACCCAUCCCGAUAACGUUAAAAAAAUAAAAAAUUAAAGAAAAGAAAAAGGGAAAAUGACAUAAAAUGAAAAAUAGAAGCCUUAAACGUUGUCUCACACUCUCACCACAACAGUCACAAACUUCUUCAUUCACUCCCACCUCAAAGUUGCCGGCAACGAGCCCUAAUUUGUCUCCCGUCAUUUCUCUCAAAUCUAUGAUGGCGAUCUUCAUUUUCCAGUUGCCGAUCAUUGGACGUCCGCACUUCAGUGCUAUAGAGUACUAAUGCAGUUGAAGACAUGUAGAAAUUGGAGUCAGAAUAACUUGCACUGUCAUUUAAAUAUGGAUGUACGGGAAGAACAUGGAACACAAGCUCAAUCAAAUGACAUAGUCACAGAUCUGCAAUCUGGUUUUCUUCCACGUGUACCGUCAACAUUGGGUAAACGAAAAUCUAAUAGAUUAGCUUCUUAUGUUUGGGAUCACUUCACUCUAUUAGGCUCAAAGAAUUAUCCAGAUGUUAGAUGUAAGUGUAAUUAUUGUGGAGUAGAUUAUGCUUGUGGCACUAAGAAGUGUGGUAUUAGUACAUUGAGUAAUCAUUUGAAUAAUGAAUGUAAGAAGUAUCCAGAUAGAUUGAUAGAUAAGAAGCAGAAAACCUUAUCAUUUGAGAACAACAAAGAGGGUGGAGGGAGCAAUCUUAUUGUUGUUGGUCGAAGCAAGAAAGAGUGUAUAGUUGCAUGUGCUAAAAUGAUAGUUUUGGAUGAAUUACCUUUUAGAUUUGUUGAAGCUCGUGGUUUUAGGCUCUUUUGUAGUGUAGCAUGUCCUCAAUUUCAGGCUUCAUCUCGCAGGACUCUUGUUAGAGACAUUUAUCAAUUGUAUUUGGAGGAAAAACUGAAAUUGAAAGAUGCCUUUUCUUUUCACCGUCAAAUGGUUUCCCUUACAACUGAUACUUGGACUUCUAUUCAAAAUGUUAAUUACACAUCUCUUACAGCAUAGUACAUUGAUUCUGAUUGGACGCUUAAUAAGCGUAUUUUGAAUUUUUGUGUCAUUUCAAAUCACAAGGGAGAAACUAUUGGAAAAAUGAUUGAGACUUGUUUGCAUAAUUGGGGAUUGAGAAAAUUUUUUGCAAUCACUGUUGAUAAUGCAAGCUUCAAUGACACUACCAUUUAUUAUCUUAAGCGAAAUGUAGUUGCUUGGGAUAGUAAUAGAUGUGUUCUAGAUGGGACGUAUUUGCACUUGCGACGUUGUGCACACAUUAUCAAUUUGAUCGUUGGUGAAAGGUUGAGGGAAGCACUUGACUCCAUUGUGAAUAUUCGCAAUGCAAUCAAAUAUGUGAAAUCUUCUCCUGUUAGGUAUGAAAAAUUGAAGUAGUAUGCUAGGAAAGAGAAGAUUGACUAUAAGUCUAUUAUGUUUUUGGAUGUUCCAACUAGUUGGAAUUCUACCUAUUUGAUGUUGGAAAAGGCAUUGAAAUUUGAAAAAGCUUUCGAUAGAUUAGAAGAGGAGGGUUGCCACGCGUUUUAUAUAACGUGAUUUUAUACCGCAAGCACACGGUGUCAAGUUUUGUAGUAUAUAAAGAAUUGAAAAGCGUCGAACUCACAGGGAUUGAUAUUCGACUUCCACUGAGUACUAUAAUUGUGUCCACGUUUACUUUAUCCAGACAAUCGAGUGUUAAAUUAAUGUUUGAAUACUAAACUAACGUCAAUGAAUUAAAUAGUGCAAUAAAAGUGAGGUAAUUUCUAAAGACUAAAUCAAAAUUACGUAAUGUCUAGGGAGUGAUUUCACCGUAUUCUCGAUAUAAUUCUCAAUCCCUAUAGAUAUUUUCAUCAACUAUUUCCUGAAUUCAUAGGUAAGAAUCCUAAAUUAAUUCUAUUUCCCCCUCUCGAGCGUCAAAUAGAACCUAUCUCUAUAUUUUAACCCCAAUAUCUCUAUUUCGAAUUAAAUAUAUAAAAAUUAUCACGCACUUGGUUCUUAUUUUACUCUUAAAGAUUCGUACUUUCUCUCGAAACCUACAAACCUAGAUUAUAUUAUUCUUAGAUUACGCCUAAAUUUCUCUCUCUCGAGCGUCAAAUUUAGAACAUCAAUUCAUUCAAUUGGUGAUCAGGCAACUGAAAGAAUUAAACAAGAACAAUACAAAUCAAUUCUGAAAAAUUAAAUGGAAAUAUUAUAAAGAAAUUAAAUUAUGUCUCAAAUAGGUUACAUCAAACUCUAGAUUUAAUAGUUUGAUUCAUGAUUGAGAAGAAAAACACAAUGAAAUACAAACUAGAGUGCAUGUAUAAGAGAAAGAUAGAAAAAAACUCAAGUUGCUGCUCUAUUUCUCAAUCUUGUUGCUCGAUUUCUCAGUUUUCUCCCUUCUUCUUCUCCAAAAUCGGGUCGAUCUUCUCUCAAUUGAUACCUCUUUUUUUCUUGCGUCUUCAGCCAUCUAACCCCCAUCUCUUGUUCUUCAUCUUGGUAUUUAUAUUUUCUAAGAGUCCUCAAGGGUUAGGGUAUGAUUUUUGGGCCGAAAAGAUAAUUAAAAAUUCGGGUUUUAACAUUUUGGGAUUUAGCGCCACGACGCCCAAGCAUGGCGCCAUGGCGCUGCGAUUAUCAUGGUAACUGGCACCAUGGUGCCCAGGUCUGGUGCCGUGGCGCCUAAGUUUCUGCUUCCUUCUUGUCCUCAUUGGGCACCAUGGCGCCCAGGUCUAGCGCCGUGUCGCCUAAGUUUCUGCUUGAAUUCAUCGCUUUGGAGGCGCCAUGGCGUCUCUUUUUCUGCGCCGUGGCGCCAAUGCCACUGCUUUGCUUCUCUUCACUUUAUUUUUCAAGCCUAUUUUCCACUCCAAUCUUAUUCAAUACUUGCUUAUUCAUGCUCCAUUUCAUUGAUCAUCAUUUUUGCUCAUCACCGGCUCCUAAUAGUGGUAUUUUCUCGAGAGUUGUCUAAACUGCAAAACAACACGAACACACACAUCAAAACGUUCAAAAAUGCUCAAGAACACAUCAAAAAAUGUGAUUUAGGAGCUUUAGUUUAAUGAGUGAAUUACACUCAUCAAGGGUGUUCAGUAUUUGCAUUACUUUCAGGAAGAUGAUAGUAGUAGAAGGAGGGGUGGACCUCCGUCAAGUUUAGAUUGGAAAAGUGCAUCUGUGUUUGUUAAAUUUCUUCAAAAUUUCCUUAAUGUGACUUCGACUUUUAGUGCUUCAUUGCAUAUUAGUACUUAUGCUUAUCUUCAUGAAAUUUGUAAUCUUGUAAUCGAAUUGGAUGAAUGGAGAUUAAGUGGAAACUUUUUGUUGGAUGAAAUGACGACUAACAUGAAAAAGAAGUUUGAUAAGCAUUGGGGUAAAAUGGGAAAUGUGAAUCAAUUGUUGUUUUUUGCUGCUAUCCUCGAUCUAAGAUAGUGAUACAAAAUGGAUUAUGUUGAAUAUUGUUUGAAUGAUCUAUAUAUGGAUGGGGGAAGUUGUUAGUAACAUGAUGAAGUCUUUGAAAGCCAUUUUGAUGGAUAUUUAUAAGUGUUAUGUGGGUCAUGAAAAUAUUGAUGGAAGUAGUAAAGUGUCAACUGAGGAGUUUUUAAAUUCUUUUAAUACAUAUAAAGGAUGUUCUUCUUCUAAGAGUGAUGCUCAUCUUAGUAGAUUUAUGGAAAAACAAGCACGGAAGGAUUCGGUUGAAAUAAAAAAAAAUGAUGUGGAAUGAUACUUAUUGGAUGCUCAUGAAAGCAUAGAGAAAAAAGAUUUUGAAGUUCUAGAUUGGUGGAAGGUUAACAACAAUAAGUAUGGUGUCUUGUCCAAUUCGGCCAAAGAUGUGUUGGCAAUUCAAGUUUUAACUGUUGCUUUAGAAAGUUCAUUUAGUACUGGAGGAAGGAUACUUGAUCCUUUCCGUAGUUCCUUAAGUCCUAGGAUGGUUGACGUCUUAGUAUGCACUCAAAAUUGGUUGAAAACUUCUCCGAACUUGGAUGGUUUUUGCAUAGAAGAUGUUAAGCAUUACAACCAAAUGGAUGAACUUUUAGAAUCAAUGAAUUCAAAAUCAAUUAAAGAUGACCAAGCUUAAAGAAUGUAAGUUUCUAGAGCUCAAAUAUUGGAGAAUUUCUUUUGCUAUAUUUUAACAUAAUUGUGAUCACUAAAUAUGCAAUUACAUAUUUGAAAUGCUCAACUAUGUUUGAAGGAUAUUUCAGCUAAAUCUUUCCUACACUUUGGUGAGAUGGAUGCGGUGUUGAAUCUGAUUUUGUAGAGAAAAUCAAUUUUUUGCUAGACUAAAAGUGUAAGUAAUCCCUAUUCUUGUGUAUAGAAUAGUGUAUUUAGUUGUCAACACUGAAUGAAUAAGCGAUAGUUUUAUCUGAUUACGACAAAUAUAUCUUGGAAAAUUCCAAUUGAUAGAUUUGGAAAUUUUGAUAUGAUAUAUAAAUUUAUGGAUAAGCGCUGGAGAAUUAUCAGAUGGAUUGCUCUUGGUGCUGUUACAUUGGAGGUAAGAGUAUGUAUUUUACUUUGUUAUUGUAAUCAACAUUAAUUUAUUGUGGUCACUUACUAUUGCCAUGGGCCAUGGCAUAUUAACAUAUUUUUUUUCAUGAAUCAUGCAAAAAUGUCAAAUUUGUUGCAAUCAAACCAGUCACAAUUCAAAUUCAGAGCUAUUUCAGUGUUUGCAGUAAAAAAAAAAUGAAAGAAAAGAUCUAUAUAAUAAAUAAAAGGUAUCUCCAUUUCAGCAAUAUGUAUAAAAGGUAAAAAUCAGAUUGACCAUAAUUCACACAAGAAUUUGACAGGAAAGGAGCAACAGGAGAAAUUUAUUUGCAUUUGUUUCUUCCUAUCUUUUUGUUGAUUCAUUCAUGUAUUUUUUUGUUGGGAUUUGUUUGGAGAUUGAAGAAAGUUUUCAUUGUUGCUGACUUGCUGGCAUUUCCUGGAUUACUUUUGAGAUGCAAAGUUUUUGAUGAAUCAUUGUGAUUAUGUAGUUGCCACAAGUUUACUAUAUUAAUUUCCAAGUGUUCUGACAAUGGAUGACUGUAUUAAUUGUAUUUGAGUGAACACUUAAAACGUCCUCAGUAGAUGAAGUUUUUAUGCAUAUAUAUAUAGUGGGGGAUCAUCUUGUAUACGUACAAAUUCGUUGGAUAAUGCAUCUUAUUCCCAUGUAGAUA